This 660-nucleotide ribosomal RNA is filed under the name Russula vesca. RNAcentral's name for it is "partial large subunit ribosomal RNA". It matches the Rfam family "Bacterial large subunit ribosomal RNA", at positions 1751 to 2114 of the family's 2925-position model. Lineage: Eukaryota; Fungi; Basidiomycota; Agaricomycetes; Russulales; Russulaceae. The record is from RNAcentral.
UCAUUUAGCCAUAAAUGAAAUAAUAAUAUGGUAUAAUAAAAUCGGAGGCCACGACUGUUUACUAAAAACACAAUUCAGAGCAAUGAUUAAGAUAAUAGUAUUCUGAAUGAAAUUUGCUCAAUGCCAUUAAUAUAAGAGAGAUAAUUUUAAAGUUAUUAAUCGAAAAUCUGGUUAAUAGCGGUCUUAACUAUGAGGAUUGAUAAAACCUACGGGUCCUCACUAAACUCGAUGAUAUGCUGGAACAUCCUAAAGCUUUAAAUACUAAUUAAUUAAAUAUUAUAUUAUUUAGAUUUUUUAGAUUUGUUAGUAACAAUUUUAAAGAUAUUACAAUGGACAAUCAGCAGGGAAUAUUUCAGUUUAUAGAAAUCGUAAAUUAAAAUUAAAUAAAAAAUUCAAUUUAAAAUAAUGAAAUAGCCUUCAGAGACUAGAUAAUUGAGCAAAUAAUGAAUAAUUAUUUGAUGAUAUAGUCCAACUUUAAUUGAAAGAUUAAAGGAUAUUGCCUAAGGUAGCAAAAUAAAUUGGCCAUUAAAUGUGGUCUUGUAUCAAUAAUGUAACGAUGGUCUCACUGUCUCUACAACUUGCUCAGUGAAAUUGAAUUGCGAGUGCAGAUGCUCGCUGUCUUCAGAGGGACGGGAAGACCCUAUGACCUUUCUACCCUGA